UCGGGGGUGGCGGAAGAACCGGGCUUCCCGCUGCCCGGAGCCGGCGGGAUCCGGCGUCAGGUCUGAGGUCCCGGGUUGCAGCUGUCUCUGUGGCUGUGAGAAGCCGCCCGGCUAGUCCGGGACCGGGUCGGCACUCCCAGCAGGAAACAGAAGCACCGUCCCGAAGCAGAGGCGCCCGCAGCUGUGAGCAGGGCGCGAACAGGUGCUGCUCUGUACUCCAAACUGCAUCACAUUAGGAGGCGCCUAACAUCUGGUUGUCUCACUUUAGUGAGGCUGAAAUUGAUCACUGGUGAGGCUGUGACAGCCAGACUUCUGUGUUGUAAAGGUGAUGACAUGCAUUAAUUCCUAGGGAGCCAUGCUCUCUCUCACCUGAAGUCUUUGAAUGCUGUUCCCUGUCUGAAGAUACAGCCUCCCACCAGCCCCGCUCCACGCCUCCUAACCCCUGGUACGCAAACUGCACUGCACCCAGCUAGCUUUCUUCCCUGCUCCCAGGCCCUCAUAUGAUGUCAUCCUUGGGUUGCCUCCCUGACACUAUGCACAAGAUCAUCAUGGGAGUCCAGUCCAGCCUCUGGCCAGGAUGUGAUUAUCUGGCUUCUAAGGCCCAGGCCCCUCACCUUUCUCUCUUGCCUGCCACACUCGUGCAGCCCCACAUCGGAGGUGAGUGUCUCCUUGAGGGGGUCUGAGGGGCUGGGGGCGCAGGCCCAUGGUCCAGGGUCAGUUCCUCGGGCUGGACCAGGGGGCCAGUACCAGACAAGUCCCUGUGCAUCUUCACCCUCAGCCAGGCCUUCCCACAUGGCACAAUAGAGCCACGGCUGCGGGCAAGGGGGGACCCAAGGACUGACCUCCGUGAGACUGGCAACCUCCUAGCAGCCCUGCAGCAGCUCUGGCCCCCCAGACCCCACCUCAAGCCCUGUGUCCAUCCAGUCUGCCUCCCCAGGCUUCAGAAAACAUUGGGCUUUGGGGACUUCCCUGGUGGCAAAGUGGUUAAGAAUCCGCCUGCCAGUGCAGGGAACACAGUUUCAAGCCCUGGUCCGGGAAGAUCCCACAUGCCACGGAGCAACUAAGCCCAUGCGCCACAACUACUGAGCCUGCGCUCUAGAGCCCAAAAACCACAACUACUGAAGCCCACGCGCCUGGAGCCCGUGCUCUACAAUAAGAGAAACCACCCAGUGAGAAGCCCAUGCAUCACAACGAAGAGUAGCCCCCUCUCACCGCAACUAGAGAAAACCUGCGCGCAGCAACGAAGACCCAACGCAGCCAAAUAUAAAUAAAUAAAAUUUAAAAA
Molecule: non-coding RNA, 1285 nt
Organism: Kogia breviceps (pygmy sperm whale)
Lineage: Eukaryota; Metazoa; Chordata; Mammalia; Artiodactyla; Physeteridae
Source: RefSeq, a predicted model, not a curated record